GAUGAACGCUGGCGGCGUGCCUAAUACAUGCAAGUCGAGCGAACAGAUAAGGAGCUUGUUCCUUUCACGUUAGCGGCGGACAGGUGAGUAACACGUGGAGAACCUACCUAUAAGACUGGGAUAACUCCGAGAACGCGGGCCUAAUGCCGGAUAACGUGUUGAACCGCAUGGGUCUAUAGCGAAAGGCGGGCUUGCUGUUAAUGAUAGAUGGUACCGCGCCGUAGUCGCUGAUUGGUGAGGUAACGACUCACCAAGGCAACGAUACGUAGCCGACCUGAGAGGGUGAUCGGCCACACUGGAACUGAGACACGGUCCAGACUCCUACGGGAGGCAGCAGUAGGGAAUCUUCCGCAAUGGGCGAAAGCCUGUCGGAGCAACGCCGCGUGGGUGAUGAGGGUCUUCGGAUCGUAAAACUCUGUUAUUAGGGAAGAACAAAUGCGUAAGUAACUGUACGCGUCUUGACGGUACCUAAUCAGAAAGCAACGGCUAACUCCGUG
This 497-nucleotide ribosomal RNA is filed under the name uncultured bacterium. Its description in RNAcentral is "partial 16S ribosomal RNA". It matches the Rfam family "Bacterial small subunit ribosomal RNA", at positions 28 to 507 of the family's 1533-position model. The record is from RNAcentral.